GAAUUAAAAAACCAAGAAAAAGCUUCUAACUUAUUUCUUUAACAGUGUAACUCUGUUAUUAAUUCU
RNAcentral lists this transfer RNA (66 nucleotides) under Phacomorphus fratyi. RNAcentral's name for it is "tRNA-Ser". Lineage: Eukaryota; Metazoa; Arthropoda; Insecta; Coleoptera; Leiodidae. The record is from RNAcentral.